GAUGAACGCUGGCGGCGUGCUUAACACAUGCAAGUCGAACGGAAAGGCCCAAGCUUGCUUGGGUACUCGAGUGGCGAACGGGUGAGUAACACGUGGGUGAUCUGCCCUUCACUUCGGGAUAAGUCUGGGAAACUGGGUCUAAUACCGGAUAGGACGAUGGUUUGGAUGCCGUUGUGGGAAGAUUUUUCGGUGUGGGAUGAGCUCGCGGCCUAUCAGCUUGUUGGUGGGGUGAUGGCGUACCACGGCGUCGACGGGUAGCCGGCCGGAGAGGGUGUACGGCCACAUUGGGACGGAGAUACGGCGCAGAAUACUACGAGAGGCAGCAGUGGGGGAGAUUACACAAUAGGGGCAAGCAUGAUGAAGCGACGACGCGUGGGGGAUGACGGCGUUCGGGGGGUAGAAAACUGUCGCUAGGGACGAAGCGGUUUUGUGAAGGUAAAUGGAUAAGGAGCACCGGCUAAAUAAGUG
This 468-nucleotide ribosomal RNA is filed under the name uncultured bacterium. RNAcentral's name for it is "partial 16S ribosomal RNA". It matches the Rfam family "Bacterial small subunit ribosomal RNA", at positions 28 to 507 of the family's 1533-position model. The record is from RNAcentral.